RNAcentral lists this ribosomal RNA (497 nucleotides) under uncultured bacterium. RNAcentral describes it as "partial 16S ribosomal RNA". It matches the Rfam family "Bacterial small subunit ribosomal RNA", at positions 28 to 507 of the family's 1533-position model. The record is from RNAcentral.
GAUGAACGCUGGCGGCGUGCCUAAUACAUGCAAGUCGAGCGAACAGACGAGGAGCUUGCUCCUCUGACGUUAGCGGCGGACGGGUGAGUAACACGUGGAUAACCUACCUAUAAGACUGGGAUAACUUCGGGAAACCGGAGCUAAUACCGGAUAAUAUAUUGAACCGCAUGGUUCAAUAGUGAAAGACGGUUUUGCUGUCACUUAUAGAUGGAUCCGCGCCGCAUUAGCUAGUUGGUAAGGUAACGGCUUACCAAGGCAACGAUGCGUAGCCGACCCGAGAGGGUGAUCGGCCACACUGGAACUGAGACACGGUCCAGACUCCUACGGGAGGCAGCAGUAGGGAAUCUUCCGCAAUGGGCGAAAGCCUGACGGAGCAACGCCGUGUGAGUGAUGAAGGUCUUCGGAUCGUAAAACUCUGUUAUUAGGGAAGAACAAAUGUGUAAGUAACUAUGCACGUCUUGACGGUACCUAAUCAGAAAGCCACGGCUAACUACGUG